This 212-nucleotide long non-coding RNA is filed under the name Elaeis guineensis (African oil palm). Its description in RNAcentral is "long non-coding RNA (EGUI_LNC062091)". Lineage: Eukaryota; Viridiplantae; Streptophyta; Magnoliopsida; Arecales; Arecaceae. The record is from RNAcentral.
UGUAGGUGUCAAUGUAUGAUAGCCUACAAAUAGCCUCUCCAUCAAAACUGACUCCAUCCUCUCUAAAGAUAACUGUGAGGGCCAUAACAUAGGGCAAAGGAGCCUUGGACCUGCUCAAGGCAUACCUCAUAACAUCAAACAUCAAAAAUGGAAGGUUCAGGGGUGACUCUGAAACAACAUGAUGCAUAAGACAUAUGUCUCUCUCCGUCAUC